Molecule: ribosomal RNA, 253 nt
Filed under: uncultured bacterium
Lineage: Bacteria
Description: partial 16S ribosomal RNA
Rfam family: Bacterial small subunit ribosomal RNA
Source: RNAcentral
UACAGAGGGUGCAAGCGUUAAUCGGAAUUACUGGGCGUAAAGCGUGCGUAGACGGUUGCGUAAGUCAGAUGUGAAAGCCCCGGGCUCAACCUGGGAAUUGCAUUUGAGACUGCGUAGCUAGGGCGCGGAAGAGGGAAGCGGAAUUUCCGGUGUAGCGGUGAAAUGCGUAGAUAUCGGAAGGAACACCAGUGGCGAAAGCGGCUUCCUGGUCCAGCACCGACGUUCAGGCACGAAAGCGUGGGGAGCAAACAGG